This 507-nucleotide ribosomal RNA is filed under the name uncultured bacterium. RNAcentral's name for it is "bacterial SSU rRNA". It matches the Rfam family "Bacterial small subunit ribosomal RNA", at positions 383 to 880 of the family's 1533-position model. The record is from RNAcentral.
CUGAGCAGCCAUGCCGCGUGCAGUGAGAAUGCCCUAUGGGUGGUAAAGCUGUUUUUAUACAGGGAAGAAAAAAUGUGUGACUCAGUACACUGUUGACCGUACUGUAACAAUAACAGAACGGCUAAGUCCAUGCCAGCACCCGCGGUAAUACGGAGGAUCCGAGCGUUAUCCUGAAUCAUUGGGUUUAAAGGGUCCGUAGGCGGGAUGAUAAGUCAAUGGUGAAAGUCUGCACCUGAACUGUAGAAUUGCCCUUGAUACUGAUGUUCUUGAAUGCUUGUGAAGAGGUUAAAAUGAGUAUUGUAGCGGUGAAAUGCAAAGAUCUUACUCAGAAUACCGAUUGCGAAGGCAGAUCACUAACAAUACACUGACGCUGAUGGACGAACGCGAAAGUGUGGAACACGAUUAGAUACACUGGUAGUGCUACGCCGUCCACGAAGGUUACUAGCUGUUCGGACUAAUUGCGGUCUGAGUGGCUAAGCGAAAGAGAUAAGUAACCCACCUGGGGAG